GACGAACUCUGGCGGCGUGCUUAACACAUGCAAGUCGUACGGUAAGGCCCUUUCGGGGGUACACGAGUGGCGAACGGGUGAGUAACACGUGAGUAACCUGCCCACAACUUUGGGAUAACGCUAGGAAACUGGUGCUAAUACUGGAUAUGUGCCCCUGCUGCAUGGUGGGGGUUGGAAAGCUCCGGCGGUUGUGGAUGGACUCGCGGCCUAUCAGCUUGUUGGUGGGGUAGUGGCCUACCAAGGCGGCGACGGGUAGCCGGCCUGAGAGGGUGACCGGCCACAUUGGGACUGAGAUACGGCCCAGACUCCUACGGGUGGCAGCAGUGGGGAAUAUUGCACAAUGGGCGCAAGCCUGAUGCAGCAACGCCGCGUGCGGGAUGACGGCCUUCGGGUUGUAAACCGCUUUCAGCAGGGACGAAGCUUUUUGUGACGGUACCUGCAGAAGAAGCACCGGCUAACUACGUG
Molecule: ribosomal RNA, 465 nt
Filed under: uncultured bacterium
Lineage: Bacteria
Description: partial 16S ribosomal RNA
Rfam family: Bacterial small subunit ribosomal RNA
Source: RNAcentral